RNAcentral lists this ribosomal RNA (460 nucleotides) under uncultured bacterium. RNAcentral describes it as "partial 16S ribosomal RNA". It matches the Rfam family "Bacterial small subunit ribosomal RNA", at positions 338 to 795 of the family's 1533-position model. The record is from RNAcentral.
CCUACGGGGGGCAGCAGUGAGGAAUAUUGGUCAAUGGGCGCAAGCCUGAACCAGCCAAGUCGCGUGAGGGAUGACGGUCCUAUGGAUUGUAAACCUCUUUUGUCGGGGAGCAAGGCCCGCCACGUGUGGCGGGAAGGAGAGUACCCGAAGAAAAAGCAUCGGCUAACUCCGUGCCAGCAGCCGCGGUAAUACGGAGGAUGCGAGCGUUAUCCGGAUUUAUUGGGGUUAAGGGGUGCGUAGGCGGAAGGUUAAGUCAGCGGUAAAAUGUCGGUGCUCAACACCGGCCUGCCGUUGAAACUGGUCUUCUUGAGUGAGCGAGAAGUAUGCGGAAUGCGUGGUGUAGCGGUGAAAUGCAUAGAUAUCACGCAGAACUCCGAUUGCGAAGGCAGCAUACCGGCGCUCAACUGACGCUGAGGCACGAAAGCGUGGGGAUCGAACAGGAUUAGAUACCCCGAUAGUC